GGAGGUGUGGCCGAGUGGUUUAAGGCAGCAGUCUUGAAAACUGCCGACUGUAACAGGUCCCUGAGUUCGAAUCUCUGCGCCUCCGCCA
Molecule: transfer RNA, 88 nt
Filed under: Pseudomonas sp.
Lineage: Bacteria; Pseudomonadati; Pseudomonadota; Gammaproteobacteria; Pseudomonadales; Pseudomonadaceae
Also listed under: 9 other names
Description: tRNA-Ser
Rfam family: tRNA
About the family: Transfer RNA (tRNA) molecules are approximately 80 nucleotides in length.
Source: RNAcentral